UACGUAGGGUGCGAGCGUUAAUCGGAAUUACUGGGCGUAAAGCGUGCGCAGGCGGUUCGUUGUGUCUGCUGUGAAAUCCCCGGGCUCAACCUGGGAAUGGCAGUGGAAACUGGCGAGCUUGAGUGUGGCAGAGGGGGGUGGAAUUCCGCGUGUAGCAGUGAAAUGCGUAGAGAUGCGGAGGAACACCGAUGGCGAAGGCAACCCCCUGGACUGACACUGACGCUCAGGCACGAAAGCGUGGGGAGCAAACAGG
RNAcentral lists this ribosomal RNA (253 nucleotides) under uncultured bacterium. RNAcentral describes it as "partial 16S ribosomal RNA". It matches the Rfam family "Bacterial small subunit ribosomal RNA", at positions 524 to 776 of the family's 1533-position model. The record is from RNAcentral.